GAAUUUUGGACAAUGGGCGAAAGCCUGAUCCAGCAAUGCCGCGUGCAGGAUGAAGGCCUUCGGGUUGUAAACUGCUUUUGUACGGAACGAAAAGCUUUGGGUUAAUACCCUGGAGUCAUGACGGUACCGUAAGAAUAAGCACCGGCUAACGCAGUGGCGACAGCCGCGGUACUACGUAGGGUGCACGCGUUCGUCGGAGUUACUGGGCGUAAAGCGUGCGCAGGCGGUUUUGUAAGACAGAGGUGAAAUCCCCGGGCUCACCCUGGGAACUGCCUUUGUGACUGCAAGGCUAGAGUACGGCAGAGGGGGGUGGAAUUCCGCGUGUAGCAGUGAAAUGCGUAGAUAUGCGGAGGAACACCGAUGGCGAAGGCAACCCCCUGGGCCUGUACUGACGCUCAUGCACGAAAGCGUGGGGAGCAAA
RNAcentral lists this ribosomal RNA (421 nucleotides) under uncultured bacterium. RNAcentral describes it as "partial 16S ribosomal RNA". It matches the Rfam family "Bacterial small subunit ribosomal RNA", at positions 359 to 772 of the family's 1533-position model. The record is from RNAcentral.